This is an RNA transcript of Lotus japonicus, 1461 nucleotides long. It is a transcript of the gene named uracil-DNA glycosylase, mitochondrial, with no coding region annotated. The transcript has 9 exons. The record is from RefSeq and is a predicted model, not a curated record. Lineage: Eukaryota; Viridiplantae; Streptophyta; Magnoliopsida; Fabales; Fabaceae.
CCACAAGUUCUUCUCUCGGCUCAUAUAAAAUGCUACCACACACUCUUUCCCGCCACAUACACCCACCAUUGCAAUUGCAAACGCCAGAAAUGGCUUCUUCCAAAACCCUACUCGACAUGUUCCAACCCGCUUCCAAGCGCAUGAAACCCACCCUCACCACCGCCACCACCACCACCACCACCGCAUGCAAAUCCGACAACGCCGCUAAUGGCUCCUCACUUUCCAUUGACCAAAAAUCGCGCAUCGAACACAACAAACUCCUCGCCAAAUCCAAGCGGAACCUCAAAAUCUGCCUCGAAAGAGUCUCCAAAUUCAAAGCCUCAGGUGGUAGCGGUUUUGUGAAAUUGGAGGAGUUGCUGGUGGAGGAAUCGUGGUUGGAAGCUCUUCCCGGCGAACUCCAGAAACCCUACGCUGUCAAUCUUUCCAAAUUCGUUGAAACGGAGAUUUGCGGUGGCGAUGUGUACCCUCCGCCGCACUUGAUCUUCAACGCCCUUAACUCCACCCCUUUUCAUCAUGUCAAGGCUGUGAUUCUCGGCCAGGACCCUUAUCAUGGACCUGGUCAAGCAAUGGGUCUUUCAUUCUCAGUCCCUGAGGGAGUCAAAGUUCCUUCCAGUUUGGUGAAUAUAUUCAAGGAGCUUCACAAAGACGUUGGCUGCUCCGUUCCGUCUCAUGGUAAUCUGGAAAAAUGGGCUGUGCAGGGUGUUCUCUUACUCAAUGCUGUUCUCACAGUCAAGAAGCAUCAAGCAAAUUCUCAUGCGAAAAAAGGCUGGGAACAUUUUACGGAUGCUGUUAUCAAGACAAUCUCACAGAAGAAUGAAGGGGUUGUGUUUCUGUUGUGGGGAAACUCUGCUCGCGCGAAAUCUAGGUUAAUCGAUGCAACAAAGCAUCACAUUCUAGAAGCUGCACAUCCUUCUGGUUUGUCUGCAAAUAGGGGCUUCUUUGGCUGCAGGCACUUCUCCCGCACUAACCAACUUCUGGAGAAAAUGGGGACUGGUCCUAUAGAUUGGCAACUAUAACUUAUGUGUAGAGAGUAUCAACCGUUAUUUCCUUUAAUCAGAAUCAAUUUUGAAGUCUACUACUACAAGUUUUGGGGCGCUUCCUGACACUAACCAUUCAUCACUUCUUUUGCUGGAAGAGUGGAAAAUUGUCAGUCUUCACAGCUCACCAGUUCGAUCUAAAUUUGUAAAGUCUGAACCAAAUAGCGUGCACGUGAUAAUAAGGUUGCCUGCAAGUGAGUCAGAGAUGCGAAUGGGGCACUUUCCCCGUGAUUCAAACGUGAGCUUCAAUGGAAUCUGAUUUGCAGUAGCAGCUGUGUAGGACCAAAACCUCAUUGGGAUUCUAAUCUUUUUUAUCUGACUUCGAUCUCCUCGAUUUGUUGGCUCUUUUGUUUUACUCCUAUUUAUUUUUUAAAUGCAUUAUUAAUCUUUUCCUAAAAGUUUUUAUUCACCCCUUGUCACACUA